RNAcentral lists this ribosomal RNA (597 nucleotides) under uncultured eukaryote. RNAcentral describes it as "eukaryotic LSU rRNA". The stretch from base 188 to 341 matches the Rfam family "5.8S ribosomal RNA". The record is from RNAcentral.
UAAAAGUCGUAACAAGGUUUCCGUAGGUGAACCUGCGGAAGGAUCAUUAAUGAAUUUUAGGACGUUCUUUUUAGAAGUCCGACCCUUUCAUUUUCUUACACCGUGCACACACUUCUUUUUUACACACACUUUUAACACCUUAGUAUAAGAAUGUAAUAGUCUCUUAAUUGAGCAUAAAUAAAAACAAAACUUUCAGCAACGGAUCUCUAGGCUCUCGCAUCGAUGAAGAACGCAGCGAAUUGCGAUAAGUAAUGUGAAUUGCAGAAUUCAGUGAAUCAUCGAAUCUUUGAACGCACCUUGCACUCUUUGGUAUUCCGAAGAGUAUGUCUGUUUGAGUGUCAUGAAACUCUCAACACCCCUAUUUUGUAAUGAGAUGGGCGUGGGCUUGGAUUAUGGUUGUCUGUUGGCGUAAUUGCCGGCUCAACUGAAAUACACGAGCAACCCUACUGUAACAAACGGUUUGACUUGGCGUAAUAAUUAUUUCGCUAAGGACGUUUUCUUCAAUUAUAAGAGGUGCUUCUAAUUCGCUUCUAAUAGCAUUUAAGCUUUAGACCUCAAAUCAGUCAGGACUACCCGCUGAACUUAAGCAUAUCAAUA